Hyaena hyaena (striped hyena) is the source of this 1199-nucleotide long non-coding RNA. RefSeq lists it as uncharacterized. The record is from RefSeq and is a predicted model, not a curated record. The transcript is spliced from 7 exons. NCBI's taxonomy places the organism in Eukaryota, Metazoa, Chordata, Mammalia, Carnivora, Hyaenidae.
GCUGCCGGGCGACCCCCAGGCGGGGGCGGGUUGGCCGGCCCGAGUCUGCCCGAGGCUUCCCGGAACAAUAAGCCUCCGGCCUGAGCGCCGUGGACCCGCCCGGGACUCCCAGUGGAGGCGCUGCCGCGACCUCUCCCUCAAGCCCAGAAAGGCGGCCGGGGACUGAGGCGUGACCCGGCCCCGGGCUGUUGGCAGGCGACGUCGUGGGCCCGAGCCCGCCGGGACUCUAACCUUCCUGCCCCGCCGACCGUAGCACCGACGUCCGCGGCCGCGCCGACGACGGCCCCUCCCCCGGGCCCCGGGACUCUGAGAAACUCCUGAAGUGUUCACGUUGGAUUUUUCUGUCAAGAGUACAUUGUUGAGCAGCUGAUAGGCUGCUGACAUCCAGGGGGAAAAGGAAUCAUAUGGGAGCACCCAGGAGGCUUCAGAGAAUGGCUAAAGCUCUGUUUCUUAAAUUGGUGAAUCACAGAAUUUAGAUUUAGGAGGAACCCAGAGGCCUCAGAGUCCUGUCUUCCUGUCUUCCUGGUUUGAGGGCUUCUUUCACAUGGAUCUUCACUGGGGCUGCUCAGACAUGGCUUGCAUCCUCCAGGGACUGGGGGCCCAAUUUGCCCCAAGACCAUCCAUUCCAGUGUUUUCAGAGCCUCUCAUUGAUGCUGGUCACCCUCCCCUGGGCUAAAACUGUCCAGCUAAAACUCUGCCUCCAGCCCCCAACAUGAAGUUCCAAGUGCAGCAUGGCAGACGUGGUAUACAGUGGGACUACUACUUCCCUGACCCAAGACGCUUGACAUCCAGUAACACCACCCACAAUGACACCAGCCUGUGCUCUACCCCUAUACUGUGUUGCCUCAGAAAAGAGCCUGCUAUCAAAAGAGUCAAGUCCAGGAGUGCCAGGCUGGCUUAGUAGGUUGAGCGUCUGACUUCAGCUCAGUCAAGUCCAGAGUGAGGCUCCCCAGGCCCAACUGAUGGAAGAGCAAGUGGAAUGGAACCUCCAUGUGAUGCCAGAGGACACAACAACAGAGACGUCUGAGCCCUCCAGGUUAAAGAUCCUGGAGGAGAGGGAAGGACUACCCAGAGUCCUUUGUCCUAUCUUGAAUCUCUGCAUUUCUGAAAGAAACUUUGGGUGCUAUAAUAGUCCAAUCUUAUCCUUUUCAUUAUACUUUUAUAACAUAUAUCAUUAAAAAUUCUAUCAAUUAUUUUAA